GCCAGACUCCUACGGGAGGCAGCAGUGGGGGAUAUUGCACAAUGGGGGAAACCCUGAUGCAGCGACGCCGCGUGAGUGAAGAAGUAUUUCGGUAUGUAAAGCUCUAUCAGCAGGGAAGAAAAAGGACGGUACCUGACUAAGAAGCCCCGGCUAACUACGUGCCAGCAGCCGCGGUAAUACGUAGGGGGCAAGCGUUAUCCGGAUUUACUGGGUGUAAAGGGAGCGUAGACGGCAAUACAAGUCGGAAGUGAAAUACCCGGGCUUAACCUGGGAACUGCUUUGGAAACUGUAUGGCUGGAGUGCUGGAGAGGUAAGCGGAAUUCCUAGUGUAGCGGUGAAAUGCGUAGAUAUUAGGAGGAACACCAGUGGCGAAGGCGGCUUACUGGACAGUAACUGACGUUGAGGCUCGAAAGCGUGGGGAGCAAACAGGAUUAGAUACCCGAGUACC
RNAcentral lists this ribosomal RNA (448 nucleotides) under uncultured bacterium. RNAcentral's name for it is "bacterial SSU rRNA". It matches the Rfam family "Bacterial small subunit ribosomal RNA", at positions 330 to 794 of the family's 1533-position model. The record is from RNAcentral.